RNAcentral lists this ribosomal RNA (497 nucleotides) under uncultured bacterium. RNAcentral describes it as "partial 16S ribosomal RNA". It matches the Rfam family "Bacterial small subunit ribosomal RNA", at positions 28 to 507 of the family's 1533-position model. The record is from RNAcentral.
GAUGAACGCUGGCGGCGUGCCUAAUACAUGCAAGUCGAGCGAACAGAUAAGGAGCUUGCUCCUUUGACGUUAGCGGCGGACGGGUGAGUAACACGUGGGUAACUUACCUAUAAGACUGGAAUAACUCCGGGAAACCGGGGCUAAUGCCGGAUAACAUGUUGAACCGCAUGGUUCUACAGUGAAAGGCGGCUUUGCUGUCACUUAUAGAUGGACCCGCGCCGUAUUAGCUAGUUGGUGAGGUGACGGCUCACCAAGGCAACGAUACGUAGCCGACCUGAGAGGGUGAUCGGCCACACUGGAACUGAGACACGGUCCAGACUCCUACGGGAGGCAGCAGUAGGGAAUCUUCCGCAAUGGGCGAAAGCCUGACGGAGCAACGCCGCGUGAGUGAUGAAGGUCUUCGGAUCGUAAAACUCUGUUAUUAGGGAAGAACAAAUGCGUAAGUAACUGUGCGCGUCUUAACGGUACCUAAUCAGAAAGCCACGGCUAACUACGUG